Sinocyclocheilus anshuiensis is the source of this 111-nucleotide long non-coding RNA. RefSeq lists it as uncharacterized. Lineage: Eukaryota; Metazoa; Chordata; Actinopteri; Cypriniformes; Cyprinidae. The record is from RefSeq and is a predicted model, not a curated record. The transcript has 3 exons.
CAGCAGUGAGUGAACGCAUUCUGUGAUCGAUUGGUUCUGUUUUGCAGCAUUUGUGUGUGUUCAGAUAAGCAGGAAAACAGUUCUAUCCUACACAAUUACUCAGCUAACAAA